CUCCAAACACAAUCAGUCCUGCUAGUUCCAAAAAAAAAAAAAAAAAUGAAUGAGAAGGAGAAGAGUGGCAAGUAAUUGAAGGAAGAAACAAGCCCAGCAAGAAUUUGCAACCUCUCACUGAAAGAGCUGUCAAAAUUUCUCUCUCCAAGCGCUCUCUUUUGAAGAACUUUCUGGUUAACAGACUUCCAGAAAGACAGCCAGUAACAAUUUGUAACACUUGUUACAAAUUUUAGGGUAGGUAAGUUAGGUUGAAAGGAGGGGCGAAGCAAUUCGCCGCAUGCCCUCUUGGGCAUAUACUUAAGUCAGUAUAGGCCUAUUGUGCGCUCUAGACUAAGGGUUUUGAAGAAGGCGGGCAGUUUACAGUCUGUUAUAUUUGAAAUUCAGUUGGAGUCGUUCCCUAAGAAUUGGGAUCUGAUAUUUGCAAACGCUGGGCAUUGGCAGAGAAAAUGUUCCAAUGUUUCGCCAUCUUACUCACAUGCCCUGCAUAUGCUGUUUUCUGCACAUCCUAUCUUUUACAGAUGAGCUUGUAGGCCCAGGUGCCCCGUAAGGAUCCCUGUUACAUCACUGAUCUAUUUUACCUAGUAACGAAAUGUUUUUCGUUUUUAUCUCAUCGGGAUCGCCCCAUAAGAUUUUUGUGGUUCUCACUACACCCUCAUUGUUCAAUAGGGAUUUGUGUGCUUAUUUGCCCAUGUCUGUAACACUAGACGUGACGCAUUUAGCGGUACUGGAUUGUCUACGUUUAUUGUUGCUAAUUCCCUGCCUGUUUAGACGAGAGAGUUUGCUAUCUCGUUACCCCUAACUCCCGUAUGACCUGGUACCCAUAUAAUGCGUUUUACGCCGUGUUGAGAGUAGUUGUUAAUUGAAUUUAUACAUUCCAAUGCAGUUUUUGAAGUUACUGUUUUGGAUGUUAUAGCCCUUAUAGCUGCCUCGUGUUAGUAUUAAGCCAGUUCAGAUACUCAGCAAUUCGCGAACCUCCGCUUGCAGGAUCGUAUUGUGAUCGGGCAAGCGGAACGAGUUUUAGGUGUUUGUAUCCUCGAUAAAAAGUCCCAGUCCCGACCUCUCCCCUAGCACUGAGCCCUCUGUAUAACAACAGUUUCCAGUCGGCAUUUAUGUUAUGAAUCCGCCAAACCACGAGUCUCUGGUAGGGAUUAACGUUUCACAUGAGGCAGCUACAAAAGUUUCAGAUAUCCUGUUUGAUACAAAUAGAAUUGUCUCGAAUGCCCUAGUUGGUGUUGUCCUCAUUGCACCGCAGAUCCUUAAACAACACAUUCGUUGGACUUUCUGUAGUAUUUUGACGUAUGUUACGCUUUUGAAUAGCCAGUGUGUCAUCUUUGGAGUGAAACCCAAUUGAGAGCCUAUGGCCUUUCUACACGUUGCCCAACAUCUAUGAGCUUAGUUUGCUCUUUGGGGGGUAUGGUCCCUCCAAUUAAGUUUCCUAUCUAGAAUCACACUCGAUAUUUAAACUUAUUGGAAAUAUUAACUGUCUUGUUCAGAAAGACCGGUUCAACGAAAUGGUCAAGUUUUCUUUUCCUAGUGAAUAGACAUAUCUCAGUUUUUUCCGUGUUAACGUUAAGACCUUUCGGUCUGGUUCAGUUGUAUGCAAGUUUCAGAGCCGACUCGGGCGGAGAGGCACACGGAUAUAAUUUAAUCGACUUAGAAUUGUACUUUUAUCCAGAUUUCAUACAUUAUGGGAUAGAUGCUAUAGAUAUUUUUGAUAGAUGCUAUAGCUAUUAAGAUACUAAGUAUCAAUUUAAUGCUAUGCGAACAUUUCAAACGCUGACAACAGACCAUAAUUUGAAGGCAUUAUACGAUAUAUCAAAAACAUCCUGAGGCCCAGAAGGCAUUUACGGCUCAAGCCUCCCAUCCCGAUUGUGAUCAAGCCGACUCCGGUAGCCCCUACAAGCUCUAAGCCUGGAAAGGGCCACAGGGAAGCGGUCAAGCCACAAUCGACAAGCCAAACAGGACGGACGAGGAAGCAUUUCCAGACCAUCUACCAGGACAAUCUUCAAGUAGCGGUCAUCGAUAAGACUGUGCCAGAAGGUAAAAUCAGCGAGGGGCUGCUAAUUGAAGAUCGUCUCAGAGAACUGGUCUUUUUGGGAGAAGGGGACGCAAAAAGUUUGGCAGCGCUACCGUUUACAAUGGCGUGAAAAUUAUUUGCUGUGAAAACGAGGAAUCUAAAGAAUUCCUGAUCACCACAUUAGCUGGCUUUCACGAGCUUUGGCAAGGGUGCGGCUUAGCGGCUGUAUCAUUAAAGGAGAUCCCCUACUGUAAGGUAUUGACAGCGUGGGUGCCACCACCAUCGGUGGAUCCGGCACGCUCAGGAAACAAAAUCCCUACCUCAGAACAGACAACAGGCGUUCAAGCACUGAGGGGGGUGGUCUGGUCAUCAAUGUAUCUAUUGAUACGGAUGACCAGGAUUAUCUUCAAGUUCGUAGUACGCCUCUGCAUUAGGAGGAAGGAAACAGCAGCUACUUAGAAUCAUGCGGAUUAAUCUGCAUCACUGUAAAGCAGCCGUAGCCGAACUAUCCCUCACAAAAGAGGAAGUAGAUAUAGCCAUGGUUCAGGAACCCUAUAUAUACCACAAUAAGGUGACUGGACUAGAGAGAGGGCAGUACGUCUCUUACGCAGAAUUUAAUGGUGACAAGUGAAGGAUAUACUACAGUGGCGAGACUGGAGAUUAAAUCCGGGAGGGUCCUCAUCUUAAUCUACCUACCGUACGAUGUCAUCAGCACUGCUCAACAUACCUACAUGAAACGUAAAUCCGUUGAAACAGCUCAACACGAUGUUGUAGGGUACAUUGAAAAAAAGGAUGAACACAAUGGACCAGAAGGUCUCCGAGUGGAGCAGUUACCAAACUGGUGGCAACUUGAUAUGUCAGCCAAAUUGUUUUAAUCAUGGUAGAAUUAAGAAAUAAAGUCAUGCAAUCAUAUGUUUAAAAGUUUUUUCUUUUAAAUUACUCAUUUGACAACAUCUCAUUG
Molecule: long non-coding RNA, 2978 nt
Organism: Musca domestica (house fly)
Lineage: Eukaryota; Metazoa; Arthropoda; Insecta; Diptera; Muscidae
Exons: 3
Source: RefSeq, a predicted model, not a curated record